AAAUUGAAGAGUUUGAUCAUGGCUCAGAUUGAACGCUGGCGGCAGGCCUAACACAUGCAAGUCGAACGGUAACAGGAAACAGCUUGCUGUUUCGCUGACGAGUGGCGGACGGGUGAGUAAUGUCUGGGAAACUGCCUGAUGGAGGGGGAUAACUACUGGAAACGGUAGCUAAUACCGCAUAACGUCGCAAGACCAAAGAGGGGGACCUUCGGGCCUCUUGCCAUCGGAUGUGCCCAGAUGGGAUUAGCUAGUAGGUGGGGUAACGGCUCACCUAGGCGACGAUCCCUAGCUGGUCUGAGAGGAUGACCAGCCACACUGGAACUGAGACACGGUCCAGACUCCUACGGGAGGCAGCAGUGGGGAAUAUUGCACAAUGGGCGCAAGCCUGAUGCAGCCAUGCCGCGUGUAUGAAGAAGGCCUUCGGGUUGUAAAGUACUUUCAGCGGGGAGGAAGGGAGUAAAGUUAAUACCUUUGCUCAUUGACG
This 484-nucleotide ribosomal RNA is filed under the name Escherichia coli. RNAcentral's name for it is "bacterial SSU rRNA". It matches the Rfam family "Bacterial small subunit ribosomal RNA", at positions 1 to 474 of the family's 1533-position model. Lineage: Bacteria; Pseudomonadati; Pseudomonadota; Gammaproteobacteria; Enterobacterales; Enterobacteriaceae. The record is from RNAcentral.